Psammomys obesus (fat sand rat) is the source of this 361-nucleotide long non-coding RNA. RefSeq lists it as uncharacterized. The record is from RefSeq and is a predicted model, not a curated record. NCBI's taxonomy places the organism in Eukaryota, Metazoa, Chordata, Mammalia, Rodentia, Muridae. The transcript has 3 exons.
UCAUAUUCUCAAGCUUUACACAUAAAGAAAGUGAAAAGCUUAGAAAAGGCUCGGGGAGCAGCACCACUUCUGCCUUACAGCAAAGGAAAAGGCUCUCAUAAGGUGGAAGUUUUAAAACAGAGCCUGAGUGACAGUUUCAAUUUGGGAACAAUCUAGAGGACCGACCCUUCAGCUGAGGGGGAAGAAAAAAAAAUGCAUUUGUAUCCUAAAGUAGGAAUGUAGUCUGCCUGAAGGUUAAAGACAUUGAAUUAAUGUUUGAACCAUUUACUCAUUACAUGUUCCAGAACACAAGUUCUUAAGUUGGAAUCUGGGUCCUUUUCAACUACUAGGUGUGUGCCAGAAACAGAGUCCUGUAUAUGAG